CUCGCUUAGGGUUUCUCGCACCCCUAUUUAUCCUCCUAGCCGCCGCCAAUUCUCUCUGCCCUCGCUUCCCUGCCCCUCACCAUCCGCGACCUCCAUCCCCCAACCCCCUCUCCACCCAAAUUCUGCUCCUGUCCGUAGGAGCACAUAGAGAAGGCCAUGGCGAUGCUGCUCCCUCCUCUCCCCUUCCUGUUGUGCAGCUCCUGGUCUACCUCGGCUACCUAGCUGCACGCCGGCCUCAGCCGAGGCAGCAGCCCUGCAUGCGCCGACGCCAACCUGAGAGACACCGUCAUGGUGCUCUUCCUCGGCCUGCACCAUAGCCAGAUCGUUCUUUUGAUCUUCAUCUCAUGGUACGUACAGUGUCUGCCUACCCUGAAGUGGGUACCUUCGAGGAAGGCCCUCGCCUGGUCGACUAAAUGCUAUGACUGAAUCAUCGACCAGUGUGGUUUAUUCGCCUCAAUCUGUAACUGUAAUUCGCCGCACCUCUGGCUUAUCCUCCCAACAAGCACAUGGCGCCGGGUCCUUACAGAGGUGAGUGUGGCAGCAAUGGCGAGCGCGAGAGUCCGAGGCCGGCAGCCCGAGGGUGCGCACGGCAGCGGGUCUUUGCAGAGGAUGAGUGAGGAGGCCGGGGCUUGAGGAGGAUGUGCGCCAGAAGCCGGCUGGCGAUGCGUGCAGAGGUAUGUGCUUGAGGGUGCAUGGGCCGGCAGUUGUAGGCAAGGGCAUGCGUGCAUGUCGUGGCCUGCUUGUGCGUGCGUGGUGUGGCCAGAGUGCGCUGUGUCCAGCUCUCCGUUGUGUGUUGUGGUCUGCUACGGCCUAUGGCCGACCGUGCACAUCAUUCGUACUCGUAGCCUGGUUACGGAUGCAUCUAACAUGAUGUGGUUCUAACCAGCAAACGCUUUGUUGUCCUGUAAUAGAACUCAUGCAUAUGGUUUAUGGAUGCUUGCAUGCAUGGUGGGAUAUGCAAGAUUGCCGUUGAGGUAUUCAAGAUACACGUUGCAUGUGGACACUUGGUGUAUGGCGGCUGUAGGUUUGAUCUUCAUACAUUUGUGACUUGUUCAAGGUUGACUGAUGAUGGCAACAUUCAAGGGUUUGGUUGGCCAUGUUUCUGCCUCUUUGGCUCCUUGUUUCUUGAUGAAGUAAGGAGUACAUUGCCUCUUCACUUCUGGAUAAAGUAAGGAGUAUAAAGUUGUUUUGAAUCUCCCGUGAGGUACAUAUAAAUUAUGCUUGAUCGACUAAUGAUGGCAACAUUCAAGGGUUUGGUUGGCCAUGUUUAUAUUAUAUUUUUCAAUGACUAAUAGCCGAUCUGAGUGUCAGGUUGACAAUUAAUUGAUUGAUUUGUAGACAACCGGGAUUAAUUUUGUGAAUAUUACUUUUUGCUUUUUUUAUAGUUGAUGGUUACAACAACAAGUUUACUCUCACAUUGCUUUGUCAUAGGGCGGACAAGCUGCUCAACAGCGGUACUACACCUUUAGGCUGUUGAAUACGAUGCACAUGCAGCUUGGCGCAGAGGCAAGGGAGACACUACUCCACCCGACCGUCCUGCAACGACCAUCUGCGGAGCCGUGAUGAGGUACGUCUGUGGAUUGACAAUCAACAGCUAUUUAUGAUUGAAUUGUACGAGUGUGCAUGGUUCCUUCAUGUUCCAUGUUUAGUAGUGCAUCCACCAUGGCCGAUGGUUAUCAUUGUGGCAUGGUCGUGGUGCUCUAGCGGCGACACAUCAUUGGCUAUGCAAGUACCAGGUUGGUUCAUCUUCUAUGUACCACCUCAGUUUAAUUCAAUUCAUGCAAGAUUGUAGUAUCAACAGUCUGAAAUCUGAGCCAUGCUUUUCUAUGCCAUGAAGCCUAAACUAUCUUCGUUUCAGGUUUAGGGUUCUGCAUUAAACAGUAGGAGGGAAUAAGAUAGCCUUUGCAUGUUUGGACGUAUAUGAUGCUAAUACCAUGGUGACCGUUGCUUCUUUUACAUGACUAUUAUUUCAGAAUGUAACAAAGUAAUGCCCAUUAAAGUAAUGAGGUAUUAUGUAACUACAAUCUGCAAAUGAAUUAUGGUAGUAUAAUUUAUUUGCUAAAAGGCAUAUUGUGUGAUAUGGAUAUGGAAUUGCUUUCAUAUGUGUAACAAAACUUGGUGUUCUCUUUAUUUGUGCAGAUAUUAUUUCUCCAUGCCUACAAGGUGUUCAAUGAAAAUUCAAGAGGGCGCACAUGGGAGGAGUAAUCUAAGUGAGUCUAGGAUUUGAAUUUUUCUAAAAUUUAGUUCCGUCAACGAUUACAAGCUUAGUGUAUGAGUAGCUGUUCGCAAUAUUGGAAUUUAUUUAGAUAUUGGAGAUCAAGAUGUCUUCUCAAUAAAUAUGUCGCUAUCUACAUAAAUUUGCAA
Molecule: long non-coding RNA, 2364 nt
Organism: Triticum aestivum (bread wheat)
Lineage: Eukaryota; Viridiplantae; Streptophyta; Magnoliopsida; Poales; Poaceae
Exons: 2
Source: RefSeq, a predicted model, not a curated record